GUACAAAAUACUGGACUCCUAAUAAAGUUCCAAUAGAAGUCGGUACUGUCAGAGAAAGACACCAUUGGCCAGUGGGGGAAAAUGAUCCAGAACAAAAUGAGGAUGAAAAUGAGAAAACAACAACAGCAACCAGAAAUAAAGAGGUGAGAGAGAGAGAGAGAGAGAGAGAGAGAGAGAGAGAGAGAGAGAGGAAGAAAAAGGAAUAAAGGAGAAAGAAAGAAAGAAGAAAAGAAGGAAAGAAGGAAGGAAGGAAGGAAGAGAAGUAGAAAGAGAGAGAAAGAGAGACAGACAGACCUCUGGGAUCCACUGAGCAAGGGCCACGGGCAGAGGUCGGCAGAGAGAAUGCUGCUGCCGUUCCUGGGAGGAGAUUCCAUACAAGAGGGAGAUUGUGUCUGGAUGACAGAACAAAGUGGUCGCUGCUACCAAUGGUGACGUCGUUCUGAGCACGGAUAGGUAGAAAGGAGAAUAUAACAUAGUUACAGCUUUGGAUACUAUAUAUCUGUAAUAAGCUCUCGGGCGAAUAAUGCUUCGACCCCCCCCUUUUAUAUAUAUAUAUUAUAUAUAUAUAAGUUUGUCAUCCCCAUAAAUGGAAAAUAUCGCCUCCACUAUGGAGCACACACACAAAAUUGUUAGAUUUCUUUUUCUUUCAAUAGGAUACUUUUAAAAUCAACAUCAAAGACAAAAGGAAGCCGGCCUCCAAACGGCUCGGCCUCGGAACAAUGAAGAAACUUUGGGUUUCCUUUCAAUGCGGUCGAUAGGAUAUUUUUUUAAACCACAGUGUUGCUCACACAGUCUGUGACUGUUUAUCAGAACGUGAGAUCGAUAGAUAAUGUCGUCUAAAAGUCACUUUAAAAAGGGGGGGAAGGAGGGAGGCUGAGAAGUUAACUCUUUAGGCUCCUCGUCAGGUUUUUAUUUAAUUAUUUUUUUUGUCCAAACAAAGCCCGGUGGCAGAGAAAGGGUUGCAUUCACUCACCCCCAGAAAGGAAAUGAAACAAAACCAAACAAAAACCGUGUCUCUCCCCCUCCCCCCACCCCAGGAACAGAAACUCUUUGAAGAGACCCUGGCAGUUCCAUUCUGCGCUGGGAGUAGUUUCUCCAAAACACUGUUUCCACAUAAAUACAAUAAACUCUCUUAUUGGUAUGUCACAAGUGCUCGAUAAACUUUUUCCUUAAAAUGACAAAGGUUGAAGUAGUCCUUUUAUUUCUCUUACAAUAAAAAGCACAAAUUCUUCAGAAUAAGUUCAGUAAGACGCAAACGUCCCCCCUCCCCACUUUCCUUCCGUGUUUUGCUUUACAGAAAAUGUCCCACCUUUUAAAAAAUCUGCAAAUGCCACGAGAGGGGGGAAAAAACCGGUUUUUUUUGUUUUUCGUGUUUUUGUUUUUUCCCCCCCAAAGCUGCCAAGUUUGGCGUGCAAAAUCUGUAUACAAUAGAAAGACAUGCCGACCUUACAGACCAUGCAACCUCAAGGUGUAGGAAACUUAAAAAAAUAUAUUCAUAUAUAUUUAUAUAUAUUUAUAUAUAUAUCAAUGCCCGUAAAACACAUGGGCCCCAAAGUUUACAAAAAGCGGAAUGGAAUGAAUACAUGACUGUGACGAAUACAAAGGAAUGUUCUAUAUCGAAAAUAAAAACAAAGCUGAAAAAGAAGCUCCCCCUCCGACCCCUCCCAAAAAAGAGGCUCUGGAGGCCCUCAUACCUGCCCCUUGCAGAUUCUGGGUCUAAGACCGCCGAAAGAAAGAACCCACCAUCCUUCUUCUCCGGACAGAUCGAGGGAGAAAAGGGAAGCAACGGGAGAAACAAAACCGCUUCGAGGAGGGGCCCUAUCCAACCAGGGCCCACGAACACCAACGUGGGGGGAGCGGGGCACAGCCCUGCCCGCCGGGUUCUGCAGGCCAGGGGAGCAGCCUCGGCGCUCCUGCUGGUGGAGCUCAGGCACAUCCUGGAGGGUCAAAGAUGCUUGGGCUCCGGGGGAGCCAGUAAAGUGCUCACUCACCGACCCUGUGGACCAACAUUUGAAAAAUGCCCCAGUAGCCUCGGCAAAGGUGCAAGUGAAAAACGGGGUGUGGAAAGGAUCCCCUCGUGGGGUCAGCAUGAGAAUGGAGAGCUAAAACGAAGCUCCAUCCACGGGGCAGCGAGAGUGGUGGUCGGCCCGGGAGAAGGGGAGCCCCACGGAGCCACAACGGAAAGGCCGAGCGUGGGCCAGCCCCACCCAAAGACAAAAACCAAAGAGAAACAUCGAUUUUUUUAAACGGAUGGCGGGGGGCCGGAGGAGGCUGACAAAGCAAAAGGGAUUUCACUCGAUGGGGCUUUGCAACAUGCAGUAAAUAGCACAAAGUCCAAAAAUGAUAACGGGGCCGCAGAAAGGUCCCGAUUAUCCCCAGCAUCUUGUAAAAACGACAAACGACUCUUUUGUCUCCGAUAACUGCUUGCAGUGAAGAGGGAGCCCCAAAAACAUCCCCCCUGCUGCUGACACCGAAUGCUGUGCUCCAGGUGACAGCUUGGAAAAGUCUGAGAAAAGGCAUGAAUGGGUGGCUGUUCCGUGGCCAUUUCAAUGCCGCCAGGGCCAAAGAGAAAAAAAAAAGGGAUUCUUUCCACCCCUCCCCCCGACCCUAAAAUCAACCCCAGUCGGAACAACCCCAAGGAGCCGGCUUAGGCUUUAGCCCCAUGGACAACAAGGGGUGCUCACUUGGGUCAAAGGGGGAUCUUUCUUUCUGCACCCAAGGCUGCCCUUCUCAGUCGGCUGCAUGCAGAUCUAAGGCUCAAGGAUAAAUGAAGAAAUCCUCCCCGCUCUUGGUGCUGAUCAGAAAAGCUGAACUGUAAACUAGACUCAAGCUUAGAAAAUUCCUUGGCUGCCCCUUCUCUGGAGAGGGGGCCAACCCCCCCCCCAACAGCUUCAAAUUCUUUCCACAAGUCUGAAUUAAAUCAAUUUUGGAAUGAAAGUGGUGACUUCAAAUGUCACCAAAAAAAAAAAAAAAAAUAAAGAGAGAGAGAGAGAGAGAGAGACACACACACAUAGAAACAGAGAGAGAGAGAGAGAGAGAGAGAGAGAGAGAGAGAGAGAGAGAGAGAGAAAACAGGGGUUGUCCAGAGGAGUGAACUGUACUAUUCUAUAUACUUUGGGGGGGGGGGGAAUACAUGUGUCAAUCGGCCUCCUGCAGCCCCAUGCUCCAGUAAUAAGCAUCUGGUGCUUCAGAGUGAAGGUCUAAACCAGAUGGCAGAAAGAAAAAAAAUUGAAAAACAACACUCCUCGCCCCGUUCCACAUUCUCAAAAGCAUUUUUCCCCUAAGGUCUUUGGAGAACAAAAGUUACAAUUCUAUCUGAGCAACAGUGUCUCGGGGAAGAAUUUUGGAAAUUAUUUUUGUCAAGGCAGACAAGUCUUCCCCGGCGGAGCUCGGCGUGCCGACUGGAGCGGAGGGGGGCCCCCUGGAUGGAAGGUCAAAAACACCCCAGCUCCGCUCCGUCUUUGCCAGAACAAAACUCAGGAAAGAGACCUCGGCUCUAUCGUUCCACGAGCGAGAGCCGAGGAGCUCUCUUUUCGUUAAACGCUCCGUUUCUGAAAACAGACUCUAAAUUGUAAUGUCUCCUCAGCCCGGAGGAAAGAUGCUGACUGUACAAAACAACAAAACAAUCCCCCAAAUAAUAAUAAUUAUAAUAAUAAUAAUAAAAAAGACCUUUAAAGGUUAAAAACUGUAUAAGCAAGGACCGAGGCAAGAAAGACCUUUUGACAUCAUAACAAGUCAGAAAACUGCCCAGUGGAAAACAAGUUCAAAUCCACACAAACGAGGUUUCUUCGGGAUUGAAAAAUAUCGAUACAAAAAUCAACAAGUUUUUCUAGUUCUCGCUACCAAACCUCCCCCCCAAAAAAAAUCCCCAAAACUCUGUGUAUGUGUGCGAAGAGGGGGAGGGGGGACAGAGGUCCUGUUACAAAAGAAACCCAACAUAACAAACAGAACCUGAAAUUAAAAUGCAAACAUCGAAGGUCGUUGCCCAGUGGCGAAUGUGUUGGCGGUCUGAAGCCUUUCUAACUUUCCCUUUCCCUCAGCACCGGUCUGGUCCAAUUCACAAGGAAAACCAUUCGCUAGGGAACCUUGAAAAGGUGACUUUUACAAUCUGCAUUUAUUAUAUUUACCUUUUUAUUUCUUCUAUAAAUGCAUUAUAAAUAUUUUUAUCAAGAUUUCAUAAGAAUCAAGUUUCUAAGCUUGGAGUACAUUUGGAAUAUACAUUAUACAUACAUUAUAUAUAUAUCUAUAUAUAUAUAUCUAUUUAUACCUACAAUUGAAGCAAUACCUCAUGCUAGUCUGCUCUCGGGGAAAAGCAUCCCAAUCUGAAAACUGCAAGUGUAUCUAUUACAUGCGUCGACGACCAAAUUGCUGUGUUCGACCGUUCUGUGAUCGAUGCCGGAAAGAAAACGCCUCGGAUCCUUCUCAAUCUGUCAGACUUCAAAACACCCAACCGUAUUUGCCACUUCGGGGGCAACUCCCUUAAUUUGUCUUAAACAGCAAUGAAAUGAAAUAGAACCACAAAAAAACAAACAAAAAUCCAACGGGACCGAACCGAACUGAACCGAACCGACCGCCCCCCCUUUCCCCCCAACUCAGGAGAGAAUUCCGGAGGCACCGCAGGCAGGGAGGCCGGCUGCCUUCAGUCCUCACGUGAGCACGGGCCGCUCGCUCGCUCCCUCGCUCUCUCUUGCUCGCUCUGGGCUCGCUGGCAGGUCUUGGCUCUGUCAGCCAGAGGAAGUCGCUCCGCAGAGUCCUGCUUUUUCUUUUCUUUUCAACUUAAGGCAUUGUCCUUCAAACUUCUGAAAAA
Molecule: long non-coding RNA, 4807 nt
Filed under: Sarcophilus harrisii (Tasmanian devil)
Lineage: Eukaryota; Metazoa; Chordata; Mammalia; Dasyuromorphia; Dasyuridae
Description: lncRNA (ENSSHAG00000028676.1)
Source: RNAcentral